This 429-nucleotide ribosomal RNA is filed under the name Acidobacteriota bacterium. RNAcentral describes it as "Acidobacteria bacterium partial 16S ribosomal RNA". It matches the Rfam family "Bacterial small subunit ribosomal RNA", at positions 355 to 776 of the family's 1533-position model. Lineage: Bacteria; Pseudomonadati; Acidobacteriota. The record is from RNAcentral.
UGGGGAAUUUUGGACAAUGGGGGAAACCCUGAUCCAGCCAUCCCGCGUGUGCGAUGAAUGCCUUCGGGUUGUAAAGCACUUUUGGCAGGAAAGAAACGUCAUGGGUUAAUACCCCGUGAAACUGACGGUACCUGCAGAAUAAGCACCGGCUAACUACGUGCCAGCAGCCGCGGUAAUACGUAGGGUGCAAGCGUUAAUCGGAAUUACUGGGCGUAAAGCGUGCGCAGGCGGUUCGGAAAGAAAGAUGUGAAAUCCCAGAGCUCAACUUUGGAACUGCAUUUUUAACUACCGGGCUAGAGUGUGUCAGAGGGAGGUGGAAUUCCGCGUGUAGCAGUGAAAUGCGUAGAUAUGCGGAGGAACACCGAUGGCGAAGGCAGCCUCCUGGGAUAACACUGACGCUCAUGCACGAAAGCGUGGGGAGCAAACAGG